This 30-nucleotide non-coding RNA is filed under the name Rattus norvegicus (Norway rat). Lineage: Eukaryota; Metazoa; Chordata; Mammalia; Rodentia; Muridae. The record is from RNAcentral.
UGGGGCAACUGGUCAAAAAUUGGUACAUGA